Molecule: long non-coding RNA, 7760 nt
Filed under: Ananas comosus (pineapple)
Lineage: Eukaryota; Viridiplantae; Streptophyta; Magnoliopsida; Poales; Bromeliaceae
Description: long non-coding RNA (ACOM_LNC019424)
Source: RNAcentral
AGUGUGAGAGAGAGGGAGAGGGUGUGUGCGUGCGUGUGUUGUGUGCGUGGGCUGAUGGAGGAGAAGAAAAGGGGAGAAAUCCCUUUUAUACAAAGCCCCUUAACACUAUUCACUUCAGUUUAGCAGCACGAUACAGAUAUUUUUCGCUUGCCCUUCUGAAUGUCCGUUUGAGCUCAAAUUUGACAGUCAUGCUCGGUUUUACUUAACUUAACGAAAGAAUUUUUAAUCUUUCAGCUUCGACCCCGUUUGGUCACCGAAAGCUCUACCGAACUGUAAUCUCUAGCAGAUAGCAGUCGGAUUUUAUUUUUCACUUUUUGGGUGUCAGAAUGGUAUGAAACUUUAAAUCUAGUCUCAUAAAAAUAAUUCUGACAUAUUCUUCAGUUUUCAUAAUUUUCUGACACUGUACAUUUUCUGCUAAUUUAUCUGCCCCGUUUCUCACAUAAAAUUUUAAAUCUUCUGUUUUCGCUCCGAUUUCAACACAGGUCAUUUCCAACUUAUAUUUCACUUCUCUAAAUCCAAUAAAAAUAGUAUCUCAUACUAUUUUUAUUUAUUUUUAUUUUUAUAUCAAAAUCUGGUAUGUUACAUUCUCCACCCCUUAAAAGAAUUUCGUCCGCGAAAUUCAAACCACGCCUCAAUUUAGCUCCUCGAGCAAUUGAGUGCAUCAAUGCACUUUCCUACUCCGGAAUGGCCUUACGUUCAUCGGAACGAUUCAAAGGCCUGCUACGGAGGAUACGAAAUCAAACGCAUAUACGUUUGCAAGGCGCAGCACAUAAAGUGCAUUACGGCCUCCAUGAUUCUCGGUGGCAGCGCAAGUCAAAACUAGACGACACUACGCGCUCCAACACCACGUGCCACAAAGGUCUAUCGCCUAACCUGUCUAAAUAUGCAGCGUCUCUCGCUCGCAAAUGCAGACCCAAUCAUUAUCAGGCGAAAUUCUCACUUGGGAAUUCGCACACACUCCAACCAGGAGCAACUAAAAUUCCAAACCUUUACAGAUCCCAGGGUUGGGUUACCAUCGCACUCUCGGCAUACUAUCAAUCGCACGAUACGCUCUACCGAGCCACACGUACCACUAUCGGCUUCUAUGCACCUAGGGCGAGCCACCAGCCCUAGGGCGAGCCACCAGCCCUACGAGUGAUCCAUGGCAUGCUUCACACCUAGCAAUGCUCAAAUGCUACUGCCAACACACUCCCUCGGCUGAACCAAAUCCGCACUCCACGAGUACCUAUACUCGAGCGUCGUACGCUACUAUAGCGUUCUACACUAAGUCUUGGCUUUGGGCAACAUUGCCCCCGCGCACCGUCUACCAAACACAUUCUCCUACCUCACAUUGAGGUACAAUUAGGCCCACAGGCCAAACUUGGUUACUAACCAACUAUUCCGUCAACAGUGAUUCUACUUUCACUAUUCGACCCACAGGAAUGACAUCCGAAAUUUUCGGAUUACUCGGGUGUCCUCAAAUACACAGCUCAACUCUCGCAAUCGACUAAUUAAGUUGUACUGAGAGUCGCUUCACCAUUUCCAUCUCUAUCAUGAGUCUCAUCAUCUCUCACCAUAUAUCACUACUAGCACUUCGCUAGUGCCAUCUGGCUCUAUACCUGUACUGGCAGAUACUAUGCCCUCACAACACGAGCAUACCCGGGUAUCUAUACUUACCCGUCCACUCGGUCUCUACUAUGCUCAUGCACGACAAUAGUAAUUAACCACAUAACCAUCGCAUGCAAUGCAUGAAUUUCACAUCAUGCAAAAGCAUAUGCUUGCUUUAAUUAACUCAUACCUACAAGCCGUCGUCAGCAACAGGGUCCUCAACCUGGGUCGUGUAUCUAUGGCUACCCGGCGCUCGCCGCGAACCCUUCGGUUGCAUCGUCCUUAAUGCCCUCUCUCCCAACUAUGCCGUAGGUGGCACACCUACAGACCGUCACAGAGAAGAAUAGGCUGUCGCCAGUGUCAGUCCCGGGCUGUCACCUUGCGGACACUCGUCAGCGCACAGCCCGGUUGCCCACACCUGUAGCACUUGCCCUUUCACAGCUCAUACUAUUGUGGGUAACGAAAACACCCUCAAACAACACAUCUCACAAAGGACCGAAUACAGUAGGUCCCGGAACUCGGGAUCGCGAGCGCGAACACAUUGCACUCGGUUGAGAACUUGACGGAUCACCAAAUCCACUCGUUGGUCGUCCUAUUUCCUUUUUUCCUGCAAUUAGACUCACGCUCCACCCGCACAAUUGCACUGCCUUAUUCUAUCCACAAGGCCUAAUCCUUAAAUCUCCUCCAAUCUCCACCAAUCCACACUCGGGAAGGGCUCCAAGAGAAAUAGAGGGAGAAAAAUCACAUGUUGGGUGGUCUCUGGCUGUGAACAAGAGAGGAGGAGUUGGUGGGGUCUAUAUAGGAUGCCACAAUCGCAUUUAAACCCUUCCUCCAUUCAUAUUUGCAGCAGACCAAUUUGGUGCAGCCAGACCAAAGUGUACCGGUACACUUUGGGCUGUCACCGGUUACACGAUUCCGCAGAGGCAAACCCGAGAGCAAGGUUCUCGGUUACGUGGGAUUUGUACCGGUACACUUUCAUUUUGUACCGGUACGCUUCCAACCUUUAUCAAACCCGAGAGCAGCUCUCUCGGUUAUGCACCAUUUGUACCGGUACACUUUCGUCCAUCCACAAACCCAAGAGCAACCUUCUCUCGGUCUGCUGGUUGUACCGGUACAGCAUUAAUGUUGUACCGGUACACUUUGCUCCAGAAUGCAGCUUUAGCUCUGAUUCUACUCUACUUCGCGCCGAUCAAUGCUAAAACCUCUCUAACUCUUUCUAAACUCAAUUUUAACCCUUCCAACAUUGUUGGAAUGUCAAUUGGACUUUGUCCAACUAUUUCUCUGGACGCAUUUUGGUCAAUUUGACAAAAAGUGAUCUAACACGACGAGAAUUCCGUUAAUUUCUCAAAGGUCACGAGGGCCGCCAAAACUCGCGAAGUUCCAAGUCUCCGCUCGCCUCAAACUAGCCAGGGACACCACUUGGCCCAUCCCGCGCCAAUCUAAACGAAGAUCGCCUACGCAGUGCUAUCGCUUCCUAAAAUGCGACAACUCUAUUAAUCCUCGACCUUCUAGGUCGAACACGAGACACUUAGGGCGUGUUUGGUUCAAAGUCGGAAUCGGAAUCAGAAUCGGAAUCGAAAUAAGCUGGAAUCGGAAUCGGAAUGACUCAUUACCUAAUUCUGUUUGGUUCAUCACCUGAAUCGGUGGCUGCUAAGACUAAGACUAAAUCCACUACUUGGUUCAGGUAAUAUAAAAAACGUAAUCAGAUUAAUAUAUUAACUUAUCUUUAUAUAUAUUAAUUUAAAUUCAAAUUAAAUAUUAAAUAUUAAAAUUUUACAUCAAAAUUUGAAAUGAUGUCAAAAUUUAAAUCUAUUUUUUUACACAAAAUUAAACUUUGAAGUUGAGUGGAUAAUUCGAAAUAUAAAACUAAAUUUCAAUUUAUUCAAAUUCAAACUUAAAAUUACAAUUUAAAUUUUAAUUUGAAUCCAUAAAUUUAAUUUAAGUUUUAAAUAAAAUUUGAAUAAAACUUUAUAUAAAUUAAAAUUUAAUUUAAAUUCAAAUUCAUAAGUUAGAUUCGAAAUACUUGAUUAAAUUUUAAUUUUUAAUUCAAGUUCAUAUUUAAAAUUUAAUUUCUAAAUUUAAACUCAUAUUUUAAUUAAAAAAGUUGAAAAAAUAAAUUUAAUACGAAUAAAUAUCCAUUUCGUCCGGAUUCAACUCCCAAUCCGGCCUCCUAAGCCGGAUUGAAAAAAGGGGUGAUUGGGGGAUUCCCAUUCCACUCGGGAAUCGGAAUCGGAAUGGGACUCCCGCGUACCAAACACCCACAAACGGAUUCAUCCAUUCCGAUUCCGAUUCUAGGGUGAAAAAGAAGUGAACCAAACACGCCCUUAAUACCGACCCAAAUCGGGCGAAAGUUACACAAGGGCGUCUAUUCUCAUCACUCGGUUUUAUGUUGUGCGCGCCCAACACGAACACCCUCAGUUGAAAAUAAACCACACCUUAAAUCUAUCUCUAACAUCCGUUUUAGAGGUUUACGACACAACCCAAUCAAGUAACCUUUCGCCAAAAGUCACAAGUCCUCGUCUCUCACGAACCUUAAUCUUCUAUGGUUCACUAUCCUAGGGUCUUCUAGGUCCGACUAAACUAUUUUCUAUUAUUCUUUUUAUUCUCUGAUACCAUCUUAUCUGUUACACCCCGAGCCCGCCUCUUUGAUCAGAUUCGAGCAUGCCGACAAACCGCCGAACGGAUAGAGUCUCCCCUGUAUGUCCAAGGCGUCGCAAUCAAUACAGUACAAGAGAUUCCAACUAGGAACAGUAUUCAACCAUAGAUUGCAUAAGAAAGUAUCAAAAACAUAAACAACUAGCUAUUACAAGCAUUCGUCUCAAUUUAACAUUUAGGUUACAUAUUACAUUGCUUUAACUAGAUUCUUACUUCCAAAUACAAUCCAAGUUGCUACAAAUUAUUACAAGUUUGAUUCUUUGUCCUCUAAACCCCUAAGCUAGACCACCUCGAGGUACGGCUAUCUCUGGUCUCUAGGGUAGGGCGCUGUCUACGGAGCUACGUCCUUUCCUCGCGCCGCCGCGCCGCUCACGUGUGUACCUGUAACACCCCCAAACAACGUGGAGUGAGAACCAACUCCAUGGUUCCCAAUGAGGACGGCCUUCUACAACAGGUAUUUAUACUUUUACUCGAUAUUGAACUACAUGUCAUGCCUCACAAUAUACAAUAUGAAAUCAUGCAACUAUCAAAGUAGAUUAAUUGAUACUACUUCCCAUUCUUAGCCAUUCUUUAUUAUUAGACACUCAUUCUUUACACUUUAGCUAUUCUUCACCAUUAGCCAUUUUCUUGCAAUCAUUAGCUAUCCCUUAGCAUUAACCGUUUCUAUUCCUUAUUCUAUAUUCUUUAUUCUUUAUUCUCUACUAAGGGCACUCACACCUUAAUCAUAUUAUACACAAUUGCCACUCUUUCCUAAGGUUACUUUACCUUAGCCAACUAUGCCACUCGACUCGGUCUUGAGUCAAUCAACUGCGGAUAAUCCGUGCUCUGUCAGGUUCGAGGCGAAGGACGUCUCACAUGCACCUCAGCCUUAAAUCCUCUAGACUAUAGGUCUACUCACAGGGUGAGGAUAUCCGUCGAACCCCAGACCACAAGUCGCUCAAUAGACCUACGGGCGAGGAGAACUACACGUACCCGCAUCCCCAAUCUCAUACUCAAACCGAGCGACGAGAACCACACGUACCCGAUGAGUCACUGCCAGGCGAGGAGAACCACACGUACCUGCAGUUGCCAUACACUUGCGCUCGGUCGUAAGGCUCAUCCGCUGCACUAGCAGCACUCAUUCCUAGGGAUUUCGGAAUCCACAUUCUUAACUAUAGGGUUGGUCGUAAACCCUAUAGUAUUGACCUAUCUAGAUCCCAAGCAUUCCUCAUCCUAAGGUUUAUAACAUUAGGUCCAAUGUUCAUUAUCACCUAGGUUCACUUGACUCUAGGUUCAAUGCCACUCUUUUCAUAGCCAAGGUUUACUUGACGCUAGGUUCAAUUCUCAACCUAUGUUUAGUACACAAAGUUUAAUGCAACUCACCUAGGUUUAUUUAACUCUAGGUUCAAUCUCAACCUAUGUUCUCUAACAUUAGGUUUAUAGCCAAUAUUGUUUAACCUAUGUUUGUUAACACCAGGUUCAAUAUCACUCCUGUUCAACCUAUGUCCUUGACACUAGGUUCGAUGCCACUCGAUCUAAUAUAUAUAUACAUAUGUCCACAUGCACUUGUCAUUUAACAUAGUUCUCUAUAUGUCAACUUGCACUCGUUUAGCAUUCUCAUGUCAUUAUUCAUUUUCUUAGCAUUAACCACAUGCUUAUCAUGUAUUCACUUAGCAUUCUUACAACAUACAACAUGCAUUCAACUAGCAUUAAUCAAUGCAUUCAUCUAGCAUUUCUAUAACAUGUUUAUCAUGUAUUCUUUGAGCAUUCUUAUUUCAUAUCAAUAUGCAUUUCAACAUGUUUCUACACAUUCCCACUAGCAUGUUCUUAUAAUGUCAACAUGCAUAUGCCAUUUACUUUAUGCUUUCCACUAGCAUUAUUCACACUAUGUCAUCAUGCAUUAUUUGGUAGCCCAACAUAGCAUUCAUCCUAUGCAUUCACAUGUUCUAUCAUUAGCUACCACUAUAUGCAUCAAUGAUAAACACUCAUCUUAAACAUACAAGCGACCUAGUCGCUUCGGUAAACACAACCCACCUUAACUUAUUCUCCGAUUGCUCGUAGUCACUUGCAAUCGGUCUCCCGCGGCACCCGUUGCCCGGUUCGGCCCGAACUCGCGCGCGACUACCCAAACGACCAUCGAUCGACAAUCUGAAAAUUAAAGGUCUAUAACUAGAUGCCACGAUACUCCGGAUCCAUUUUCAUGAUUUUUGGAUGCCGCCUCGGCCCUCCAGGCGGAAAUGAAGCCGAAACGUCCGUUUCUUCAAUAUCUUCACAUAGGCUAGACGAAUCGCCGAACCGACUUCGCCAACAUGUUCGUAUACCUAGCAAUUAGGUUUACGUAGGGUUAAUUUAGAUCAAACCCAAACAUUUUACAAAAACCCCAUUUUGAACCCUAACAUGCUACUAUUGCAAGAAAUCAUCAUACAGCUCAAUGAUUCAAGCAUUAACCCUCUAAUUAGCAUCUAGGAGUUCCACUAAAUCCAUUCUUAGAGCAUAUAAUUGAAGCCGUAGAAUUCUACCAUUGUUGCUAUCAAAUCUUACCUCUCAAGCUAGCACCAAUGGAGAUGAAGAAGACGAAGAAGAAAAUGAUCCACCUUCUUGAUUCCUUCUCCACCAAUCCUUCUCUUGAUUCCACCUUCAAGAGAGAGAGAGAUCCUCCUUCUUUGCAAGUGUGAGGGAGAGGGAGGGGGGGUGUACGUGCGUGUGUUGUGUGCGUGGGUUGAUGGAGGAGAAGGAAAGGGGAUAAAUCUCUUUUAUACAAAGCCCCUCAACACUAUUCACUUCAGUUUAGAAGCACGGUACAGAUAUUUUUCGUCUGCCCUUCUGAAUGUCCGUUUGAGCUCAAAUUUGACAGUCAUGCUUGGUUUUACUUAACUUAACGAAAGAAUUUUUAAUCUUUCAGUUUCGACUCCGUUUGGUCACCGAAAGCUCUACCGAACUGUAAUCUCUAGCAGAUAGCAGUAGGAUUUUAUUUUCCACUUUUCGGGUGUUAGAAUGGUAUGAAACUUUAAAUCUAGCCUCAUAAAAAUAAUUCUGACAUAUCCUUCAGUUUUCAUAAUUUUCUGACACUGUGCAUUUUCUGCUAAUUUAUCUGCCCCUUUUUCACAGAAAAUUCUAAAUCUUUUAUUUUCACUCUGAUUUCAGUACAGGUCAUUUUCAACUUAUAUUUUACUUCUCUAAAUCCAAUAAAAAUAGUAUCUCAUACUAUUUUUAUUUAUUUUUACUUUUAUAUCUGUGACACCCCAAUAAUCUCACAUCGGAUGGGAAUGUGGUUGUCAUUGGGUUUAUAAGAGACUUAGACACUCGUAAUAAUAACUGGGCUUAAGCAUUUUGGGCCGGUGGUUGGGCUCAACGAGUUAUUGUUGCUAGCGGGUCGGGUCGUUACAUUUGGUAUCAGAGUCGGUUCACCAGCUGGAUAUGUGUGGCGAGUCUCGGCUGAGCCAGGGUCUGGAUGACGGGCUAGCGAGACGAGUCUCACAUCGCCUGGUGAUCUUGGGCUGUGUGUGUGAUUGGACUGACGAGGAUGUCAGGGCCUUAGC